UGGCGGCAGGCCUAACACAUGCAAGUCGAGCGGUAACAUUUCUAGCUUGCUAGAAGAUGACGAGCGGCGACGGGUGAGUAACGCGUAGAAAUCUACCUAGUAGUGGGGGAUAGCCCAGAGAAAUUUGGAUUAAUACCGCAUACGCCCUACGGGGGAAAGCGGGGGAUCUUCGGACCUCGUGCUAUUAGAUGAGUCUGCGUCGGAUUAGCUUGUUGGUGAGGUAAUGGCUCACCAAGGCGACGAUCCGUAGCUGGUCUGAGAGGAUGACCAGCCACACUGGAACUGAGACACGGUCCAGACUCCUACGGGAGGCAGCAGGUGGGGAAUAUUGCACAAUGGGCGCAAGCCUGAUGCAGCCAUGCCGCGUGUGUGAAGAAGGCCGUUAGGGUUGUAAAGCACUUUCAGCAGUGAGGAAAGGGGUGUCGUUAAUAGCGCCAUCCUGUGACGUUAACUGCAGAAGAAGGACCGGCUAACUCCGUG
This 480-nucleotide ribosomal RNA is filed under the name uncultured bacterium. RNAcentral describes it as "bacterial SSU rRNA". It matches the Rfam family "Bacterial small subunit ribosomal RNA", at positions 37 to 507 of the family's 1533-position model. The record is from RNAcentral.